CUUGCUUCUCUUCGAGAGCGGCGGACGGGUGAGUAAUGCCUAGGAAUCUGCCUGGUAGUGGGGGAUAACGUUCGGAAACGGACGCUAAUACCGCAUACGUCCUACGGGAGAAAGCAGGGGACCUUCGGGCCUUGCGCUAUCAGAUGAGCCUAGGUCGGAUUAGCUAGUUGGUGGGGUAAUGGCUCACCAAGGCGACGAUCCGUAACUGGUCUGAGAGGAUGAUCAGUCACACUGGAACUGAGACACGGUCCAGACUCCUACGGGAGGCAGCAGUGGGGAAUAUUGGACAAUGGGCGAAAGCCUGAUCCAGCCAUGCCGCGUGUGUGAAGAAGGUCUUCGGAUUGUAAAGCACUUUAAGUUGGGAGGAAGGGUUGUAGAUUAAUACUCUGCAAUUUUGACGUUACCGACAGAAUAAGCACCGGCUAACUCUGUGCCAGCAGCCGCGGUAAUACAGAGGGUGCAAGCGUUAAUCGGAAUUACUGGGCGUAAAGCGCGCGUAGGUGGUUUGUUAAGUUGGAUGUGAAAUCCCCGGGCUCAACCUGGGAACUGCAUUCAAAACUGACUGACUAGAGUAUGGUAGAGGGUGGUGGAAUUUCCUGUGUAGCGGUGAAAUGCGUAGAUAUAGGAAGGAACACCAGUGGCGAAGGCGACCACCUGGACUAAUACUGACACUGAGGUGCGAAAGCGUGGGGAGCAAAC
RNAcentral lists this ribosomal RNA (699 nucleotides) under Pseudomonas sp. 100-p12_3. RNAcentral describes it as "bacterial SSU rRNA". It matches the Rfam family "Bacterial small subunit ribosomal RNA", at positions 79 to 773 of the family's 1533-position model. The record is from RNAcentral. Lineage: Bacteria; Pseudomonadati; Pseudomonadota; Gammaproteobacteria; Pseudomonadales; Pseudomonadaceae.